Non-coding RNA from Misgurnus anguillicaudatus (oriental weatherfish), 1499 nucleotides. The record is from RefSeq and is a predicted model, not a curated record. Lineage: Eukaryota; Metazoa; Chordata; Actinopteri; Cypriniformes; Cobitidae.
UACAAACGUAAGUGUUUAAAAAUUAGAGAUAGGUUUUGCCGGUUGUUGAUGAGUGAUGAAUACCAGCUGUGAAUUUUCUCAACGCGUGUAAGCAGCCACGACACAGGAAACCGAAACAGUGUUCCAAUAUAAAGUGAGGGUCCUUGACAGUGGCCGAACCCGCAUACUACACGAUAUAAUGAUUCCCCACCUCGGGAGCUAUAGGGAACGAAUUGAGACACAGCCCUGGAUGUAAUCACGUCUGUGCUGAUGAUCACGUGCCUGUACACAAACCCGCAGCUCACUUGCAAAAGAUUAUCCGGUUAUUUAUUACACGUAAUGUAAACGUUUUUAAUGUUAUCAUGAAUCAAUGUUAUAGUUUGUCACAUUAUUUUUUGAGAAGAGUCAUGACUGAACGCGGACCUUACACGCUGUUAUUUUUUUGUAUGCGUAUGGCCAAGGUACAGUGCGCUCUUUUGCACUAUGACCAGCCAUCAGUAAAUCGAAAUACAGUAAAAAAAAUGAGCGCGAAACCCUGACACUUUACAGAAAGGCACGGAUAUCCCCGCCCGAAGAAAAAAAGAACACAGGACAAUGGUUGCAAGUUAAACAGCUGAACAUUUCACCAUCUGCAAAGAACAUUUCACCAUCAACAUAUUAACAUAAACGGUUCUCUUUUUCUUGUUUGACUGCGUUUGGUACAGGUCACAACAACGACGGCAGAUGUAGAGACCACGCUUUCCCUUGCUUCCACUCCACGGCUGAUCAUGCUUGAGGAUCCAGAUCUACAAAACAAAAAAUGGAUGCUGCCGAUUGAAGGCUAAGUCCGAUUUCCUGCGAUUGACCUACCAUUUCUUAAGCAUUUGCUGUUCACUUUGGUUGCUACUACGUGCUCAACAUCGAGUACCAUGUGCAAGCAGCCACUACUUUGGAGUUUAUUCAGAGAUUUAUUGUGAGGAUCAGCCCCGACAACAGCAAGUGCUCCUCUAACUUCCAGGUGAGCAAAAGAAGUGGGAAGAUGGUGCAAAGGAAGAACUCUGGCCUGAACCAUCAUGUGUAUAUAUCCACCUUUAUUAAGGACUUUAUGAAUUAAGCAAAACUAUUAAGAAACUAAAGCAAAUACAUUCUACUCAACUCACCAGAGGUUUGUGAAGUUCUUUUUUUUCUUAAAGGUUUCUUUUAGUUAAUUUGUCCAUGCACUGAUUUAUAAUAUUGUAAUAUGAAACUCCAGUGUAUACAUGUUACUACUGUUGCUUCUAAAAGCAAAAUAAGUCUAUGCAGGAGAGGUUUUGUUACAUUUUUUUAAAUUAUUCUUAUAGACGGUUUCAUCGGACGCACAUGAUACACGUCUGGAUCCGAUCCUUACUUCCGGUUUCGCUUUUUUAAUGGUCUGACUAGUUGCUAAACUGAUCUCUUGAACAAAAGCCUCGUCGAAAAUAACAAAUGUUUUGGUUUCCGGGCUAAUCUAUGUGUUGUUUUUUUGCUUGUUAUAUAAAUAAAAUGCGUUUAAAGAACUUUGU